RNAcentral lists this long non-coding RNA (758 nucleotides) under Phaseolus vulgaris (common bean). RNAcentral's name for it is "long non-coding RNA (PVUL_LNC001975)". The record is from RNAcentral. Lineage: Eukaryota; Viridiplantae; Streptophyta; Magnoliopsida; Fabales; Fabaceae.
ACAGCAAAACAAAACCCUCAUCCUGCUGCUUUUGCCCCACACCAACCCCCAUCUGCGCGAACUGCUCCUCAAUCCCCAUUACCUUCUGAUCCUCCACGACGUGAACCCUAAUCGGCGGCAAAUUGGCCAGCGACGGUGACGACGAAGUGGACCCAAACGACGACGUCGUCUCGAGCAUGGGCGAAUCAGGAACGGAGUGAACAUCCUGCUUCAAAUUCUUUCCGUUCCCGAAAGAUCCACCCAACGAAGCGCCACCACCAACACCAGCACCGGCACCACCUUCCCCAGCGUCCUUCGAACCGGGCUCGAGGUUGUUCCCAGCCACCUCGUCGUCGAGAUCGACCAGGCAAUUAACAGAAGCAGAGUCGGAAAAGCCUCGGUUAGGUACUCCGUUGCCGUUCAGGGCAUUCAAGAACCAGUCGUCCGAUUUGGUUGAGGUGUCAAGGAUUUGGGAGGGAAUGGAGUGAGUGGAAUCAGGUUUGGUAGCGAAGAGAAAUAGGCGGAUGCGGGAGGGUUUGAUGACGGAAGUGGCGGCGGCGGCAGUACGGUCGUACUCGUCGAUCAUGUUCUCCAGGUCUUCGUCGGUGGUGACGGAGAUGAGGGAAUCGAGGUCCUCGUUAGGAAGCUGGUACUUGAGCGUGAAGGGCCGUCCGUUCAGGAAUGUCUUCGAGAGGCGCGUGGAGAGGUCCGCGAGUGAGGUGGCGCGUUCCGCAACGAUGAUGCGCGUGUCGCCGCCGACGUAGCAGAGGGACUUGUCG